Molecule: ribosomal RNA, 253 nt
Filed under: uncultured bacterium
Lineage: Bacteria
Description: partial 16S ribosomal RNA
Rfam family: Bacterial small subunit ribosomal RNA
Source: RNAcentral
UACAGAGGGGGCAAGCGUUGUCCGGAAUUACUGGGCGUACAGCGCGCGCAGGCGGUCUUGGACGUGCCGUGUGACAUCCGUCGGCUCAACCGACGGAGGCCAGGGUACACGACAAGACUGGAGACAGAGAGAGGGAUGUGGAAUACCCGGUGGAGCGGUGAAAUGCGUAGAGAUCGGGUGGAACACCAGGGGCGAAGGCGGCAUCCUGGCUCUGUUCUGACGCUGAGGCGCGAGAGCGUGGGGAGCAAACCGG